AGCGGGGUACGGAGGUCUUACU
Molecule: microRNA, 22 nt
Filed under: Ixodes scapularis (black-legged tick)
Lineage: Eukaryota; Metazoa; Arthropoda; Arachnida; Ixodida; Ixodidae
Also listed under: 1 other name
Description: Isc-Mir-276_5p* (star (passenger))
Source: RNAcentral